AAUGGACGAAAGUCUGACGGAGCAACGCCGCGUGAACGAAGAAGGCCUUCGGGUCGUAAAGUUCUGUUGUUAGGGAAGAACAAGUACCAGAGUAACUGCUGGUACCUUGACGGUACCUAACCAGAAAGCCACGGCUAACUACGUGCCAGCAGCCGCGGUAAUACGUAGGUGGCAAGCGUUGUCCGGAAUUAUUGGGCGUAAAGCGCGCGCAGGUGGUUCUUUAAGUCUGAUGUGAAAGCCCACGGCUCAACCGUGGAGGGUCAUUGGAAACUGGGGAACUUGAGUGCAGAAGAGGAAAGUGGAAUUCCAAGUGUAGCGGUGAAAUGCGUAGAGAUUUGGAGGAACACCAGUGGCGAAGGCGACUUUCUGGUCUGUAACUGACACUGAGGCGCGAAAGCGUGGGGAGCAAACAGGAUUAGAUACCCUGGUAGUCCACGCCGUAAACGAUGAGUGCUAAGUGUUAGAGGGUUUCCGCCCUUUAGUGCUGCAGCUAACGCAUUAAGCACUCCGCCUGGGGAGUACGACCGCAAGGUUGAAACUCAAANGAAUUGACGGGGGCCCGCACAAGCGGUGGAGCAUGUGGUUUAAUUCGA
This 593-nucleotide ribosomal RNA is filed under the name bacterium T-1-48-4H. RNAcentral describes it as "bacterial SSU rRNA". It matches the Rfam family "Bacterial small subunit ribosomal RNA", at positions 370 to 954 of the family's 1533-position model. The record is from RNAcentral.